Molecule: ribosomal RNA, 274 nt
Filed under: uncultured Eubacteriales bacterium
Lineage: Bacteria; Bacillati; Bacillota; Clostridia; Eubacteriales
Description: uncultured Clostridiales bacterium partial 16S ribosomal RNA
Rfam family: Bacterial small subunit ribosomal RNA
Source: RNAcentral
UUCAUAAAGUUUACUUUAAGAAGUGACUUAGUGGCGGACGGGUGAGUAACGCGUGAGCAACCUGCCUUUGCAACCGGGAUAACAGUUGGAAACGACUGCUAAUACGGGAUGACGUACACGGACCGCAUGAUCUGUGUACCAAAGAUGCGUCGUGCAAAGAUGGGCUCGCGUCUGAUUAGAUAGUUGGCGGGGUAACGGCCCACCAAGUCGACGAUCAGUAGCCGGACUGAGAGGUUGAACGGCCACAUUGGAACUGAGAUACGGUCCAGACUCC